GAAACGAACACGAUUAAAAUAGACCAAAAGAAAAGAAAGAAAAGAAAACCUUUCUAUGUACAGAUUCUAAAUCGUACUCCCCAUACAGUCAGAGGCAGGGAGUCGAGGGCAGAGGCAGCAGGCGGAGAGAGGGAGAUAGGGCGAGGGAAGGAGAACGCGGAGAGAGACGAAGGGAGUGGGAGACCAGCGACAGCGAGCGCCAGGGCACCGCAGGCACACUGGAUGCCCAGUCCGCCGGCCCAGCCGCCCUCGGACCCUGGACCGUGCGUCGUGGGCACCAGAAACGAGACUCGGCCAAAUCCUGCCUCACCAGCAGGUAGAUGAAACUCAAGAGAAAAGGUGUGGAUAAAUGAAACUAGCCCAUGAUGAACCUGUUUUCUCCGUGACCACAAUAUUAACCAGGAUGAAUGGCGGUGGCAGUGGGCCUGCAUCACAGGUUGCAGCAGAUGUUCUCAAUAUUUCUAUUAAAAUUUCCUUAUUUCCAUAUGCAAGAGGAGCCCCAGAGCUGCAUCCUUAUGGUAGCUACCAUGCCGUGAUGUAAGCUGCCAUUCACUGGGGAGCUUUGGCAAUAGAAUUGGCUAGAUCAGGAAGCCUAUGUCAACUAUGGAACAACAACUUGCAGCUCAUCUCUAUUGAUGUCUUGGGUACAUCUUUAUCAGCAGCAUGAAAAUAGACUAAUACAGUCAAUUUGUACCAGUAGAGUGGGGUGUUGCUGAAAAGAUACCUGAAAAUGUGGAAGCGACUUUGGAAAUGGGUAACAGGCAGAGAUUGGAACAGUUUGGAGGGCUCAGAAGAAGAUAGGAAAAUGUGGGAAAGUUUGGAACAUCCUAGAAAUUUGUUGAAUGGCUUUGAAAAGAAGCUGAUAGUGAUAUGAACAAUAAGGUCCAGACUGAGAUGAUCUCAGAUGGAGAUGAGGUACUUGUUGGGAACUGGAGCAAAGGUGACUCUUGUUACGUUUUAGCAAAGAGACUGGUGGCAUUUUGCCCCUGCCCUAGAGAUUUGUGGAACUCUGAACUUGAGAGAGAUGAUUUGGGGUAUCUGGAAGAAGAAAUUUAUAAGCAGCAAAGCAUUCAAAAAGUGACUUGGGUGCUGUUAAAAGCAUUCUGUUUUAAAAGGGAAACAGAGCAUAAAAGUUCCUGAUGAUUCAGUAGCCUCAUGAUGCAGUAGAAAAGAAAAACCCAUUUUUCUGAGGAGAAAUUCAAGCCAGCUGCAGAAAUUUGCAUAAGUAGCAAGGAGCCUAAUGUUAAUCCCCAAGACCGUGGGGAAAAUGUCUCCAGGCCAUGUCUCUAGGCCAUGUCAGAGACCUUCACAGCAGGCCCUCCCAUCACAAGCCUGGAGGCCCGGAAGAAAAAUGUGGUUUUGGGGCCAGGCCCAGGGUCCCCAUGCUGUGUGCAGCCUAGGAACUUGGUGCCUUUUGUCCCAGCCGCUCCAGUCAUGGCUGAAAGGGGCCAAUGUAAAGCUUGGGCUGUGGCUUCAGAGGGUGGAAGCCCCAAGCCUUGGCAGCUUCCCAGUGGUAUUGAGCCUGCAAGGGCACAGAAGUCAAGAAUUGAGGUUUGGAAACCUCUGCCUGGAUUUCAGAAGAUGUGUGGAAACUCCAGGAUGCACAGACAAAAGUUUGCUGCAGGGGCAGGGCCCUCAUGGAGAACCUCUGCUGGGGCAGUGCAGAAGGGAAAUGUGGGGUUGGAGUCCCUACAGAGAGUUCCUACUGGGGCAUUUCCUAGUGGAGCUGUGAGAAGAGGGGCACCGUCUUCCAGACCCCAGAAUGGUAGACCACUGACAGCUUUCACCAUGCACCUGGAAAAGCUGCAGACACGCAACAUUAGCCUGUGAAAGCAGCUGGGAAGGGAGGCUAUACCCUGCAAAGCCACAGGGAUGGAGCUGCCCAAGACCAUGGGAACCGACCUCUUGCAUCAGCAUGACCUGAAUGUGAGACCUGGAGUCAAAGGAGAUCAUUUAAUUUGACUGCCCUACUGGAUUUUGGACUUGCAUGGGCCCUGUAACCACUUUGUUUUGGCCAAUUUCUUUCAUUUGGAACAGCUGUAUUUACCCAAUACCUGUACCCCCAUUGUAUUUAGGAAGUAACUAGAUUGCUCUUGAUUUUACAGGCUUAUAGGCGGAAGGGACUUGCCUGGUCUCAGAUGAGACUUUCGACUGUGGACUUUUAGGUUAAUACUGAAAUGAGUUAAGACUUUGGAGGACUGUUGGGAAGGCAUGAUUGGUUUUGAGAUGUAAGAACAUGAGAUUUGGUGGGACCAGGGGCAGGAUGAUAUGGUUUGGCUGUGUCCCUACCCAAAUAUCAACUUGAAUUGUAUCUCCCAGAAUUCCCAUGUAUUGUGGGAGGGACCCAGGGGGAGGUAAUUGAAUCAUGGGGGCUGAUCUUUCCUGUGCUAUUCUCAUGACAGUGACUAAGUUUCAGGAGAUCUGAUGGGUUUAUCAGGGGUUUCCACUUUUGCUUCUUCCUCAUUUUCUCUUGCUGCUGCCAUGUAAGAAGUGCCUUUUGCCUCCCACCGUGAUUCUGAGGCCUCCCCAGCCAUGUGGAACUUUAUUUCUUCCACUGACAUCUUGAACCCCUCAGUCAUCCAUGAGGCUUGGAAUCAACUUCUUCCAAACUCCUGCUCAUGUUGAUAUUUUGAUCUCCUUUUAUGAAACAUGGAUGUUUUAAUAGCAUCUAGAAUGAGAAAUCUUUUCCAGAAGGCUUUCAAUUGACUUUGCCCAGAUCCAUCAGAGGAAUCGCUAUCUAUGACAGGACCUCUAACAAUGAUAUUGGAAGAAUAGAUACUAAGUCUUGGAGAGACAAAAAUCAAGCAUCAGACAAGAGACUAAAAUAA
Molecule: long non-coding RNA, 2828 nt
Organism: Homo sapiens (human)
Lineage: Eukaryota; Metazoa; Chordata; Mammalia; Primates; Hominidae
Gene: NR2F1-AS1
Product: NR2F1 antisense RNA 1
Source: Ensembl